GGCGAGAUGGCCGAGCGGUCCAAGGCGCUGGUUUUAGGCACCAGUCUCUUUGGGGCGUGGGUUCGAAUCCCACUCCCGUCA
RNAcentral lists this transfer RNA (81 nucleotides) under Haemonchus placei. It matches the Rfam family "tRNA". Rfam says of the family: Transfer RNA (tRNA) molecules are approximately 80 nucleotides in length. Their secondary structure includes four short double-helical elements and three loops (D, anti-codon, and T loops). Lineage: Eukaryota; Metazoa; Nematoda; Chromadorea; Rhabditida; Trichostrongylidae. The record is from Rfam by way of RNAcentral.